This 254-nucleotide ribosomal RNA is filed under the name uncultured bacterium. RNAcentral's name for it is "partial 16S ribosomal RNA". It matches the Rfam family "Bacterial small subunit ribosomal RNA", at positions 524 to 776 of the family's 1533-position model. The record is from RNAcentral.
UACGUAGGGUGCGAGCGUUAUCCGGAAUUAUUGGGCGUAAAGAGCUCGUAGGCGGUUUGUCACGUCGGAUGUGAAAGCCCGGGGCUUAACCCCGGGUCUGCAUUCGAUACGGGCAGACUGGAGUGUGGUAGGGGAGAUCGGAAUUCCUGGUGUAGCGGUGAAAUGCGCAGAUAUCAGGAGGAACACCGGUGGCGAAGGCGGAUCUCGUGGGCCAUUACUGACGCUGAGGAGCGAAAGCGUGGGGAGCGAACAGG